GACAGAGGUCCCGAGCGUUAGGCGGAAUCACUGGGCUUAAAGCGUGUGUAGGCGGAGUGCUAAGUACCUUGUGAAAUCCCACGGCUCAACCGUGGAACUGCUUGGUAUACUGGUUCUCUUGAGCCACCUAGGGGCAACCGGAACAAACGGUGGAGCGGUGAAAUGCGUAGAUAUCGUUUGGAACGCCAAUGGUGAAAACAGGUAACUGGGAGUGUGCCGACGCUGAGACACGAAAGCCAGGGGAGCGAACGGG
RNAcentral lists this ribosomal RNA (253 nucleotides) under uncultured bacterium. Its description in RNAcentral is "partial 16S ribosomal RNA". It matches the Rfam family "Bacterial small subunit ribosomal RNA", at positions 524 to 776 of the family's 1533-position model. The record is from RNAcentral.